Molecule: non-coding RNA, 85 nt
Organism: Caerostris darwini
Lineage: Eukaryota; Metazoa; Arthropoda; Arachnida; Araneae; Araneidae
Source: the annotation of a GenBank genome assembly
GAGCCUUUUAGAUCACCGAAGUUAAGCAUCAUUGGGCGCGGUCAGUACUUGGGUGGGUGACCACCUGGGAACACUGCGUGCCGUU